Phlebopus sp. FC_14 is the source of this 86-nucleotide non-coding RNA. The record is from the annotation of a GenBank genome assembly. Lineage: Eukaryota; Fungi; Basidiomycota; Agaricomycetes; Boletales; Boletinellaceae.
CCGACCUUAGCUCAGUUGGAAGAGCGCGAGACUGUAAUGGCUAAAAUUUCAUCUUGAGGUCGCCUGUUCGAACCAGGCAGGUCGGA